ACGUCAGAGUAGGCUGUAGGCGUUUGGGUAUUGAAUGGGUGGGGGACUCCACAUUUCCUUGCUUCCCUCAUCCAUAUACUCUCUCUCUCUCUCCCUCCCACGUGUAUGUGUGUGCCGCAGAACUUCCCUAAAUUGCUUUUCCAUCUCUUCUUCUCCAUCAUCAUCGCUUUGUUCUCACCUUGCGAUUCUGCUUGUAUGAUUUAGAUUCUAUAGCAAGUAGAAGCUCUUAAUUUUUUCCUGGCUGUGAUGUUAGAAUUCGAGUCUUUUGGUGGUGUGGGAUUGCUCUGAGAAGUUACAAACAUCUCGAUCCGGAUAUCCCUCGGCGAUGCAUGUCAGGAAUCUAAUAGCGCCUUUAUCAAGAUGAGAGGAACCAUUGCCCUCUCUCUCCCGACCUUUUGAUGCGUGCUACAGAUUGAUCAGCCCUUGUUGUCGGCCUUUGUUUCAUUUUCUUGCCUCUAGAUUUCAACCAAGCCAUACUUCUACCUGUAUCACAUACAUCCAAAUCUAGACCAAGAACAAAGAAUAACCUGCCGAUGGAAGGGCUGGUAAUUGUGGAAGAGAACAUGUCCAAUCUCACUUCUGCCUCUGGCGAAGCAAGCGCCUCCUCCAACCAGCAAUCCUCCCUGAUCGCCACAGAGCCAAGUCCGGUGAAGAAAAAGAGGAACCUCCCGGGAAAUCCAGACCCAGAUGCGGAGGUAAUAGCACUGUCUCCCAAGACACUGAUGGCAACCAACAGGUUUGUGUGCGAGAUCUGCAACAAAGGAUUCCAGAGGGACCAGAACUUGCAGCUCCACAGGAGGGGCCACAAUCUCCCAUGGAAGCUGAAGCAAAGAAGCAAGGAGGCGAGGAAGAAGGUGUACGUGUGCCCAGAGGUGACAUGCGUCCACCAUGAACCUUCUAGGGCACUCGGAGACCUCACUGGCAUCAAGAAGCACUUCAGCCGGAAGCAUGGCGAGAAGAAGUGGAAGUGUGACAAGUGCUCCAAGAAAUAUGCUGUGAAGUCCGAUUGGAAGGCCCACUCCAAGAUCUGUGGCACAAGGGAAUACAGAUGCGACUGUGGCACUCUCUUUUCGAGGAGGGACAGCUUCGUGACUCACAGGGCCUUCUGUGAUGCACUGACAGAAAGGAGUUCGAGGGUCGGCAUUACAUCAAACCCUAUAGCCGAUCGCCACCUGCUCCAAUUCUCUCAUCCUACAGCAUCAUUUGAGCCCUUCCCGCUCCAGCAACCUGAUCUGCAGAGCCAGUUCACUCGCUUUAUGCGAGCCACAGAGGUCGGCAACAGUCCGUCGAGCAGCCAUGGGCUGCAGCAGGAGAUCGCACUGAAAAGAGAGCAGCAGCACUUCGACAGGUCAGAUAUCCCACCAUGGCUGAACUGCCAGGCGAUCACUUCUCUGAACUACUUUGACGUGAUGCCUUCGUCCAUAUACCCCAUGAGAUUAGACGAAGCAUACCCUCAUGAAAACCCAGUACCUCCACCUCCUUUCUUUCCCACGGACCAUUCCGCAACUUCCUUUCCACACAUGUCGGCCACUGCAUUGCUGCAGCAAGCGGCGCAAAUGGGUUCGACCGUAAGUAGACCUUCAGACGCUGAUCAGAUGGCUACUCACGACUCGUCCGCAUACAAUGCUACUUCUGGCUUUGAUCUCGGCUUGUCCUCCUCACAUCAAGAAGUGAGUGGUGGACGAGGAGGAGGUUUUGGGCAAGUGUUUGCACCUCCUGCUCUCCUCCAGGACAUGAUGCUGAACCCACUUUCUUCGACUCCAGGGUUUGUGGGUUCUUUCGACGAUGCACUUGGAAGGAUCCCGGGAUUCAAGAGGAGACAGAACAGCUUCGUGGAUGGCGUGGUCAGAAGCCAAGGAAGGGGUGAGGGAGGAGGUGGCGGUGGGAAUGAUGGGAUGACAAGAGACUUCUUAGGACCAAGGGCUGUUUUCCCACAGGGAUAUCCUUGACUUGGCUCUGUACCUCUGAGCAACCUCUCUGCUCGAAGGACACUUGUUCGUUGGCCUCCUUCCUCCUCCGAGAGAACUCUUUGUACCGUGCGGUGCGCUCUUCCUUGCUUUGCCUUUGCCACAAAAGUAUCUAUUUGUGUUGUUGUAGGGUUUAUCCUCAUAAACUUUAUUUCCGAAGCACAACAUUCUCUGGUUUUCCUUAAAUGACUCUGUAAUAUUCCUAGUUAAGAAUAAUGGAAUAUUUAUCCCCAUAAAGUAAA
Molecule: RNA transcript, 2209 nt
Organism: Musa acuminata AAA Group (dessert banana)
Lineage: Eukaryota; Viridiplantae; Streptophyta; Magnoliopsida; Zingiberales; Musaceae
Gene name: zinc finger protein GAI-ASSOCIATED FACTOR 1-like
Exons: 4
Source: RefSeq, a predicted model, not a curated record